Molecule: long non-coding RNA, 4190 nt
Filed under: Fragaria vesca (wild strawberry)
Lineage: Eukaryota; Viridiplantae; Streptophyta; Magnoliopsida; Rosales; Rosaceae
Description: long non-coding RNA (FVES_LNC000095)
Source: RNAcentral
UUUCUUUUCUUUUAUUCAAAAUAAAACUCCUAGAAUACAGAUUAGGGAAUAUUGGGGUGUCGUUCCAAGUUUUAUACAGAAAUAUUGGGAUGCUCAAAAGUAACUUUCACAAAAUUUAGAAAAAUAUAAUACUUUGAUACGGGUGUAUCCUAGCCUUUUAAGGAUUAGCCGAUUCCUUCUCCACGUUAGUUAAGGAAAUAGCUUUUCUAGCUUGUUAGGGGAAUAGUUUUCCAACUUUGUUUGGGAUUAGUUGUCUAACUUAGUUAGGGAAUACUCUCCAAGUUAGAUAAGGAUUUAUAGAGAUUUAGACUCUAUAAAUAGAGGUGUCUAGCUUAGUUUUAGGGGGGAGGGAAACAGAGACAACAUCUGUUUAGACUAGAGGGAAACAGAGAGAUAGACUUGUUUAGAGUUAUUGUGAGGGAAGGAUUCAGACAAUAAACAUUGUACCUUUACACAACAAUAAGAGGAGAUAUAUUUCUUCGAACCUACAUUCCUUGUGCGUUUCAGUACUAUUACUAAUUCCGUUAUUAGUAGUAUCCGCCUAGUAAUCUGUAUCAAGUUGGUAUCAAGUGCGCAUCGAUUCUGCGAGGGGGUUCCUGUGGUUUAUGGUCCUUACUCGAUCGCAAUACAGAAAGCUAGGCAAGGUUCUUGUUUCUUGGGAAAAAAACCAAGAGGACAAGAGAAAAGAGGAUGGGUGACGAAAGAACAGACAAAGAGAGACUUGAUGCGGUAGAGAAGCAGUUGGCGUCGAUAGGUUCUACUCUUGCGGAACUGGCCAAUUUCAUCAAACAUGAGAAGAAAGUCGAACCUUUGGAGAAGCCGAAGAACAAGACUUCUCAUUCAGAUGACGAAAGGGAAGAAGUAGAUUCGGAUGAGGAAACAGACGACACCAGCAAAACUUCGCAUCAAGGAGGCAAGGGUUCUUUUCGAAAUCUGAAGAUCGAUUUCAAAGUUGAAAUCCCUAUGUAUGACAGGAGUGUCAACGUAGAGAAACUAGACGAUUGGAUUGAGCGUCUAGAGACUUAUUUUACUCUUUAUGACUACUCGUCAAAGGAGAAGAUUAUCUUUGCAACUCUAAAACUAUCGGCUCAUGCAUUGACUUGGUGGAAGUCCUAUCAGAAAAAUAGUGAUGGAGAGGCAAUGUCGUGGAAGAAGUUCAAGGAGUUGCUUAGGAAGCAGUUCUAUCCAGUUGGUUUUCUGGAAGAAAGAUGGUGCAAGUGGUACAACUUGCGUCAAGAAUUCAAUCAAUCCGUACAAGAAUACACCACCAAAUUCUAGAAUCAAGCUAUGGUUUUGGAUAUUUCAUUGAAGGAGUAUUUUGUGUUCAUGAAAUAUGUGGCGGGUCUGAGUGAGUAUAUCCAGAAGGAGUUGAAAUUAUUCACGGUGGAAACUAUUGCAGAAGCCAGCAUGAAAGCCAUUGUCAUUGAGGGCAAAUUUAAGAAGAAUGUAACAGAAAGAGAUGGAAAGCACUCUGUGGGUAAGUCCAAUGGUUCCUCUGUCAAAAGGAAGGAGCAUGAGGGUGGUGAGUUUGAUGGGAAAGAAUGUUUGGUUUGCAGUCACUGCAAAGGAACAAGCCAUGUGGUGGAUAAAUGUUGGGUGAAGUCAAAAGGAGGAGAAAAAGAAAGUCGCUUUGACCACAUAGGAGCCAAAGGAAGUACCAGGGAUGACAGAACCAAAUGCAAAGCUCAAUCUUAUGACAGGAAAUAAGUAGCCUGUAACGGAUGAAGCAGAUCCGAGGGAGCAGCUCUUUGUUGUUAAGUUACAGGUGAAGACUAGUUUGGUUGAUGCCAUUGUGGAUCCGGGUAGUCAGAUGAAUCUUAUCUCGGAAGCCUUGGUUCAGAAGCUGGGUCUCAAGACAACCAGACAUCCGAAGCCAUAUCCGUUGGGAUGGAUCCAAAAGGAAGCAGGCGGGAUGAGUAUUACCAGCCAAUGCACAUUUAAGUUUGCACUUCAUGAGUCUUACAUCGAUGAAGUGACAUGUGAUGUGGUGUCAUUAGAUGUUUGUCAGGUUAUACUAGGUAAUCCCUACUUGUGAGAUAGAUAUGCUAUCUAUGACAGGAGAGCACAAAGGUAUACGUUCACGAAGGACGAACAACAGUUUGUUAUUCGAGCGAUUUCCCUGCCACAAGAGGCAAGCUUGGUAGCAGUGACUCGGGCUAAAAGAUUAGUCAAUGCUUGUACGAAAUUUUUCUUGUUGACACGUCCACAUGAAGGGCACUCAAGUCAAGAUAUUGAGAAGACAAAAUUGAAGAAGUCACAAGCAAAGUACAAGACUAGACCUUGUACUUUUGGUAUUAGCGACUUAGUAUGGUUAAGGCUGAGUAAAGAGCGCCUUAAAGAGGAUCCAUUGCUAAAGGAUUGCAUUUUAGAGCAGCAAGUGGCUACGACAUGUCGAGGGGAGCAAACAGUGUUCUGCAUUGGGCGUGCAGGUCAGGUUCCAAGCAAAGCUAAGUGGUUCAGCAAAGACAAGGGAACUCUCGAGUUUCCUAAUCUCUAGUUUUAACUUAAGCGGGAGUUUAAGUUCCUAAAAGGGGGAGGCAUGAUACGGGUGUAUCCUAGUCUUUUAGGGAUUAGCCGAUUCCUUCUCCAAGUUAGUUAAGGAAAUAGGUUUUCUAGCUUGUUAGGGGAAUAGUUUUUCAACUUAGUUUGGGAUUAAUUGUCUAACUUAGUUAGGGAGUACUCUCCAAGUUAGAUAAGGAUUUAUAGAGAUCUAGACUCUAUAAAUAGAGGUGUCUAACUUAGUUUUAGGGGGGAGGGAAACAGAGACAACAUCUGUUUAGACCAGAGGGAAACAAAGAGAUAGACUUGUUUAGAGUUAUUGUGAGGGAAGGAUUCAGACAAUAAACAUUGUACCUUUGCACAAUAAUAAGAGAAGAUAUAUUUCUUCGAACCUACAUUCCUUGUGUGUUUCAGUACUAUUAAUAAUUCCGCUAUUAGUAGUAUCCGCCUAGUAAUCUAUAUCAUACUUUGAUCGGUUGGAAACCACCUAAUCAUAAACUUUUAUGUAACACAUCAAAGUAUCACACAAGUACUACUCACGACUGGAGCAGCCUAUAGAACGUGCAAACCCUAGGUUUUCUACAGCGGCGCGACCUUCCUUCGAUGGGUCGUUAGGAGGCGGGGCAGAGGCAAGCUCAAGUCAGACUUCUUUUGGGGUCGGAGACAUAAGUGGUUGGGGGCGGUGACGUUUGCAGGCGUUACCGCUUGGCAGCAAGGAGAGUUUUGAUCGGUUUCAGAUCGGAAUCGGGUUUGAGGGUGGCUUCAUGAAAUCUAUUGGAUCGGUGGUGUUUGAACUCCGGCCUUCUCAAACUUGUGUUUGUUGUCUCAGUGCCUGUAGGGCGUCGGAGUCGACUUUGAGGCGGAGGUUUUGAGCUUUUGGUCAAGGCCAACUACUGGUUUGGGCGAGGUGAUGUUGCUGGUUGUUCAGUCAAAUGCCCAUCUCAGGUUCCCUUAGCAAUUGGGUCUCAGCCCUUGGGCUUUAGUACACCUGGAUUUUUUUUGUGUGCCUGGGAUACUAGGUCUGGGCUUUGGACCUUAAUUGCCUUUUAAUUCUGCUUUUUAUAUGUUUAGAAUAAUGGCCUUUAAUCUAUGUUUUCUCAUAGAUUUUAGGUUUUGUUGUUUCCUUUUUCCUUAGUGUUGGUUGUCCUUAGUGUUUUUGACUAUAGGAGUGAUGUUGAAUAAUCUCAUUAAAACGGUCAACCAUGAAUAAACAUGAAUAAUCUAAAGACCAUACAAGCAAAAACCGUACAAGUACAAACUAAUACCAGCAAGCUAUAAAUUGAAAAAAAAAAAAAAACCCCUUAAAGCUACAUUCUAAAAAGUGUACAUUAAUCAACUAAAAAGUGAAUAUUAAAUGAUCUCUCAACCUAUACAACCAUGAGACAAAGCGACCAUCCUACAGAGUAGGACACGUAAGACCCUACAAUCCAUGACUUAUUAAUCGUAUUAACUAAAAAGAAAUGUUGUUGUUUGAUUUAAUGGAUCUUCCUUGUAAUUUACUUUUUACAUCAAAAAGAAAAAAAAUAUAUAUAUUGGUUGGCUGGUUGAGCAAAAUUUAUGGGUGUCAAAAUUGGCAUGACCAUGAAUAAAACUUAGAAAAGUCAACUUGCUGAAAAUCACUACCUAAAAUAUGAAAAUUAUGUAAAACAAGCAGCAGCUAGCAGUAAAAACGAUAUAAUUAAGAUAGAUUA